GCGAGCGGCGGACGGGUGAGUAAUGUCUGGGAAACUGCCUGAUGGAGGGGGAUAACUACUGGAAACGGUAGCUAAUACCGCAUGACCUCGAAAGAGCAAAGUGGGGGAUCUUCGGACCUCACGCCAUCGGAUGUGCCCAGAUGGGAUUAGCUAGUAGGUGAGGUAAUGGCUCACCUAGGCGACGAUCCCUAGCUGGUCUGAGAGGAUGACCAGCCACACUGGAACUGAGACACGGUCCAGACUCCUACGGGAGGCAGCAGUGGGGAAUAUUGCACAAUGGGCGCAAGCCUGAUGCAGCCAUGCCGCGUGUGUGAAGAAGGCCUUAGGGUUGUAAAGCACUUUCAGCGAGGAGGAAGGCAUCACACUUAAUACGUGUGGUGAUUGACGUUACUCGCAGAAGAAGCACCGGCUAACUCCGUGCCAGCAGCCGCGGUAAUACGGAGGGUGCAAGCGUUAAUCGGAAUUACUGGGCGUAAAGCGCACGCAGGCGGUUUGUUAAGUCAGAUGUGAAAUCCCCGCGCUUAACGUGGGAACUGCAUUUGAAACUGGCAAGCUAGAGUCUUGUAGAGGGGGGUAGAAUUCCAGGUGUAGCGGUGAAAUGCGUAGAGAUCUGGAGGAAUACCGGUGGCGAAGG
RNAcentral lists this ribosomal RNA (634 nucleotides) under Rahnella sp. EECC-326. RNAcentral's name for it is "bacterial SSU rRNA". It matches the Rfam family "Bacterial small subunit ribosomal RNA", at positions 91 to 721 of the family's 1533-position model. Lineage: Bacteria; Pseudomonadati; Pseudomonadota; Gammaproteobacteria; Enterobacterales; Yersiniaceae. The record is from RNAcentral.